GAUGAACGCUGGCGGCGUGCCUAAUACAUGCAAGUCGAGCGAACGGACGAGAAGCUUGCUUCUCUGAUGUUAGCGGCGGACGGGUGAGUAACACGUGGAUAACCUACCUAUAAGACUGGGAUAACUUCGGGAAACCGGAGCUAAUACCGGAUAAUAUUUUGAACCGCAUGGUUCAAAAGUGAAAGACGGUCUUGCUGUCACUUAUAGAUGGAUCCGCGCUGCAUUAGCUAGUUGGUAAGGUAACGGCUUACCAAGGCAACGAUGCAUAGCCGACCUGAGAGGGGGAUCGGCCACACUGGAACUGAGACACGGUCCAGACUACUAAGGGAGGCAGCAGUAGGGAAUCUUCCGCAAUGGGCGAAAGCCUGACGGAGCAACGCCGCGUGAGUGAUGAAGGUCUUCGGAUCGUAAAACUCUGUUAUUAGGGAAGAACAUAUGUGUAAGUAACUGUGCACAUCUUGACGGUACCUAAUCAGAAAGCCACGGCUAACUACGUG
Molecule: ribosomal RNA, 497 nt
Filed under: uncultured bacterium
Lineage: Bacteria
Description: partial 16S ribosomal RNA
Rfam family: Bacterial small subunit ribosomal RNA
Source: RNAcentral